RNAcentral lists this ribosomal RNA (253 nucleotides) under uncultured bacterium. RNAcentral's name for it is "partial 16S ribosomal RNA". It matches the Rfam family "Bacterial small subunit ribosomal RNA", at positions 524 to 776 of the family's 1533-position model. The record is from RNAcentral.
UACAGAGGUCCCAAGCGUUGUUCGGAUUCAUUGGGCGUAAAGGGUGCGUAGGUGGUGGGGUAAGUCGGAUGUGAAAGCUCGGAGCUCAACUCCGAAAUGGCAUUGGAAACUACCCUGCUAGAGGAUUGGAGGGGGGACUGGAAUACUUGGUGUAGCAGUGAAAUGCGUAGAUAUCAAGUGGAACACCAGUGGCGAAGGCGAGUCCCUGGACAAUUCCUGACACUGAGGCACGAAAGCUAGGGGAGCAAACAGG